AAAACUCCGGUGGUGUAAGAUGGACCCGCGUCUGAUUAGCUUGUUGGCGGGGUAACGGCCCACCAAGGCGACGAUCAGUAGCCGGCCUGAGAGGGUGAACGGCCACAUUGGGACUGAGACACGGCCCAAACUCCUACGAGAGGCAGCAGUGGGGAAUAUUGGACAAUGGGGGGAACCCUGAUCCAGCGACGCCGCGUGAGUGAAGAAGUAUUUCGGUAUGUAAAGCUCUAUCAGCAGGGAAGAAAGAAAUGACGGUACCUGACUAAGAAGCCCCGGCUAACUACGUGCCAGCAGCCGCGGUAAUACGUAGGGGGCAAGCGUUAUCCGGAUUUACUGGGUGUAAAGGGAGCGUAGACGGCGAUGCAAGUCUGAAGUGAAAGGCGGGGGCCCAACCCCCGGACUGCUUUGGAAACUGUAUGGCUGGAGUGCAGGAGAGGUAAGUGGAAUUCCUAGUGUAGCGGUGAAAUGCGUAGAUAUUAGGAGGAACACCAGUGGCGAAGGCGGCUUACUGGACUGUAACUGACGUUGAGGCUCGAAAGCGUGGGGAGCAAACAGGAUUAGAUACCCUGGUAGUCCACGCCGUAAACGAUGAUCACCAGGUGUCGGUGGGUAUGGACCCAUCG
This 623-nucleotide ribosomal RNA is filed under the name uncultured bacterium. Its description in RNAcentral is "bacterial SSU rRNA". It matches the Rfam family "Bacterial small subunit ribosomal RNA", at positions 202 to 842 of the family's 1533-position model. The record is from RNAcentral.